This 421-nucleotide ribosomal RNA is filed under the name uncultured bacterium. RNAcentral's name for it is "bacterial SSU rRNA". It matches the Rfam family "Bacterial small subunit ribosomal RNA", at positions 355 to 774 of the family's 1533-position model. The record is from RNAcentral.
UAAGGAAUAUUGGUCAAUGGACGCAAGUCUGAACCAGCCAUGCCGCGUGAAGGAUGAAGGUCCUCUGGAUUGUAAACUUCUUUUAUCUGGGACGAAAACGGGAUUUUUAUCUCAAUUGACGGUACCAGAGGAAUAAGCACCGGCUAACUCCGUGCCAGCAGCCGCGGUAAUACGGAGGGUGCGAGCGUUAUCCGGAUUUACUGGGUUUAAAGGGUGCGUAGGUGGGCUUAUAAGUCAGUGGUGAAAUCUCCGAGCUUAACUUGGAAACUGCCGUUGAUACUAUAGGUCUUGAAUUAUCUGGAGGUAAGCGGAAUAUGUCAUGUAGCGGUGAAAUGCUUAGAUAUGACAUAGAACACCAAUUGCGAAGGCAGCUUACUACAUAUAAAUUGACGCUGAGGCACGAAAGCGUGGGGAUCAGACA